CAUUGAUUUUUUUACUCUCUCCGCCUCACGUUUGAUUGGAAAUGCCCCCAAGCUCAGGAUGAUAGGCCUACUUUUUCCUAUUCCGCUGGGUGAUGAGUCAACCGAACGUAAUCACGACGCCAACAGAGGUUCUUCGAAUGCAUUGCGAAAGUGACGAAAUCAGCGCCUCUAGUCUCAAGAUUGCGAAAUGCCCGGUUAGCAGAAUUUCUUAAGAGUCGGACCUCAAUUCAUUUGUCGUAAUAUAUCGCUUACCAUCGGGACGAAAUGGAUUCUACCAGUAACAAUAAUGAUACAGGCUGCACCAGCAAGUAGGCCUGAGGCAACUUCUCAACCUGUGAACAAUAGGAAGUCAGUCAAAGCUAAGAAAAGAAAAGCCCAGCAAGGGAAAAGCAAGCAAGGCGAAGGGAGACUAUUGCGCAGCUGAGAGAAUAGACAACUACGACCCCAAAAACAACACGUAUUACAUAAAGUGGCAAGGAUAUGAUGCGUCCCACAACUCAUGGGUGAAAGCGGAAGACGUAACUUCUCCUCUCAUCUCUUCUUACAAAGAAAAAUUAGGUUCAGGAACGCACAAGAAGUGAUGCACCUCAUGUCAAUUUAUGUGAAUUUGUGCAAAUCCUCCCACCUGUGUUUUUUUGUUCAGUGGAAUUCACGUAUUUCGGUAUUCCUUCUUCACCUCCACGCAUUAUUCAUUCUGACAUAAACUCACAUGAUCACUUUUGAUGAAAGAUUACAUAAUGGAUAAUAUUGAAUUGGCACAAAUAUAGUAACAAUGUAAACUUAUCAUAUCUUUCAAAGGUCUCAUUAAAAGUAAAUGUAAGUUACAUGUACAUGUACUGUGGAAUUAUUGUUUUUUCAGACAAUCUGUGGCUGUUGUAUACAUGUAUCAUUCAAUAAACGUGGCGUUUUUCAUAUUAUUAGA
Long non-coding RNA from Lineus longissimus, 922 nucleotides. RefSeq lists it as uncharacterized. NCBI's taxonomy places the organism in Eukaryota, Metazoa, Nemertea, Pilidiophora, Heteronemertea, Lineidae. The record is from RefSeq and is a predicted model, not a curated record. The transcript is spliced from 5 exons.